Molecule: ribosomal RNA, 254 nt
Filed under: uncultured bacterium
Lineage: Bacteria
Description: partial 16S ribosomal RNA
Rfam family: Bacterial small subunit ribosomal RNA
Source: RNAcentral
UACGAAGGGGGCUAGCGUUUGUCCGGAUUUAUUGGGCGUAAAGAGCGUGUAGGCGGUUUGGUAGGUCCGCUGUGAAAACUCGAGCUCAACCUCGAGACGCCGGUGGAAACCAUCAGACUAGAGUCCGGGAGAGGAGAGUGGAAUUCCCAGUGUAGAGGUGAAAUUCGUAGAUAUUGGGAAGAACACCGGUGGCGAAGGCGGCUUACUGGUCCAUUACUGGACGCUGAGGUGCGAAAGCGUGGGGAGCAAACAGG